This 955-nucleotide ribosomal RNA is filed under the name uncultured organism. RNAcentral's name for it is "bacterial SSU rRNA". It matches the Rfam family "Bacterial small subunit ribosomal RNA", at positions 20 to 946 of the family's 1533-position model. The record is from RNAcentral.
UGGCUCAGAACGAACGCUGGCGGCGUGCUUAAUACAUGCAAGUUGUGCGAGAAAGUAUCCUUCGGGAUGCGAGUACAGCGGCGAACGGGUGAGUAACACGUAAGCAACCUGCCCCUAAAUCCGGGAUAACCCUGCCAACGCGGGGCUAAUACCGGAUGUGGUUGAAAGGUCGCAUGAUUUUUCAAUUAAAGGUGACCUCUUCUUGAAAGUUACUGUUUAGGGAUGGGCUUGCGGACCAUUAGCUUGUUGGUGAGGUAACGGCUCACCAAGGCUGCGAUGGUUAGCCGACCUGAGAGGGUGAUCGGCCACAUUGGGACUGAGAUACGGCCCAGACUCCUACGGGAGGCAGCAGUAGGGAAUUUUGCGCAAUGGACGAAAGUCUGACGCAGCAACGCCGCGUGAGGGAUGAAGGCCUUCGGGUUGUAAACCUCUGUUGAGUGAGAAGAAAAGCAUGCGGGAUAAUACUCCGCGUGUCUGACGGUAUCACUCGAGGAAGCCCCGGCUAACUACGUGCCAGCAGCCGCGGUAAUACGUAGGGGGCAAGCGUUGUUCGGAAUUACUGGGUGUAAAGGGAGCGUAGGUGGAAAGGUAAGUUAGGAGUGGAAGAUACGGGCUUAACCCGUAGUCCGCUUUUAAUACUGUCUUUCUUGAGUAUGGGAGAGGAUGACGGAAUUCCUGGUGUAGCGGUGGAAUGCGUAGAUCUCAGGAAGAACACCGGUUGCGAAGGCGGUCAUCUGGCCCAAUACUGACGCUGAGGCUCGAAAGCUGGGGGAGCGAACAGGAUUAGAUACCCUGGUAGUCCCAGCCGUAAACGAUGGACACUAGAUGCUGGAAGAGUCAAUCCUUUCAGUGUCGUAGCUAACGCGUUAAGUGUCCCGNCUGGGGGAGUACGCUCGCCAGGGUGAAACUCCAAGGAAUUGACGGGGGGCCCGCACAAGCGGUGGAGCAUGUGCUU